RNAcentral lists this ribosomal RNA (463 nucleotides) under uncultured bacterium. RNAcentral's name for it is "bacterial SSU rRNA". It matches the Rfam family "Bacterial small subunit ribosomal RNA", at positions 28 to 507 of the family's 1533-position model. The record is from RNAcentral.
GAUGAACGUUGGCGGCGUGCCUAAUACAUGCAAGUCGAACGGAGAUUGUAGCAAUACGGUCUCAGUGGCGAACGGGUGAGUAACGCGUUGGUGACCUGCCCCGAAGUGUGGAAUAACAGAUCGAAAGAGCUGCUAAUACCGCAUAAUAUCCAGAGGACUAGAUGCCUUUGGAUUAAAGGAUUUAUUCGCUUCGGGAGGGGCCUGCGUCCCAUCAGCUAGUUGGUAAGGUAAAGGCUUACCAAGGCUAUGACGGGUAGGGGACCUGAGAGGGUGGCCCCCCACAAUGGAACUGAAACACGGUCCAUACACCUACGGGUGGCAGCAGUAGGGAAUAUUGGGCAAUGGGGCAACCCUGACCCAGCGACGCCGCGUCGGGUGAAGAAAUCCUUCGGGAUGUAAAGCCCUGUUGUACUGGGAAGAGCAGAACGACGGUACCAUACGAGGAAGCCCCGGAAACUACGUG